Molecule: ribosomal RNA, 395 nt
Filed under: uncultured Chrysophyceae
Lineage: Eukaryota; Chrysophyceae
Description: partial small subunit ribosomal RNA
Rfam family: Eukaryotic small subunit ribosomal RNA
Source: RNAcentral
GCUUGUCUCAAAGAUUAAGCCAUGCAUGUCUAAGUAUAAACAUCUUUAUACUGUGAAACUGCGUACAGCUCAUUAUAUCAGUAAUUAUUUAUUUGAUGGUCACUUACUACAUGGAUAACCGUAGUAAUUCUAGAGCUAAUACAUGCGUCAAACCUCGACUUCUGGGAGAGGUGUAUUUAUUAGAUGGAAACCAAUGCGGGGCAACCCGGUAUAUGGUGAUUCAUAAUAACUUUCGGAUCGAUCUUCGGAUCGAUGCAUCAUUCAAGUUUCUGCCCUAUCAGCUUUGGAUGGUAGGGUAUUGGCCUACCAUGGCUUUAACGGGUAACGGAGAAUUAGGGUUCGAUUCCGGAGAGGGAGCCUGAGAAAUGGCUACCACAUCCAAGGAAGGCAGCAGG